This 73-nucleotide transfer RNA is filed under the name Salmo salar (Atlantic salmon). It matches the Rfam family "tRNA". From Rfam's summary of the family: Transfer RNA (tRNA) molecules are approximately 80 nucleotides in length. Their secondary structure includes four short double-helical elements and three loops (D, anti-codon, and T loops). The record is from Rfam by way of RNAcentral. Lineage: Eukaryota; Metazoa; Chordata; Actinopteri; Salmoniformes; Salmonidae.
UUCCCUGUGGCUCAGUUGGUAGAGCAUGGUGUUUGCAACACCAGGGUUGUGGGUUCGAUUCCCACAGGGGGGC